This 500-nucleotide ribosomal RNA is filed under the name uncultured bacterium. RNAcentral describes it as "partial 16S ribosomal RNA". It matches the Rfam family "Bacterial small subunit ribosomal RNA", at positions 30 to 523 of the family's 1533-position model. The record is from RNAcentral.
AUUGAACGCUGGCGGCAGGCCUAACACAUGCAAGUCGAGCGGAUGACGGGAGCUUGCUCCUUGAUUCAGCGGCGGACGGGUGAGUAAUGCCUAGGAAUCUGCCUGGUAGUGGGGGACAACGUUUCGAAAGGAACGCUAAUACCGCAUACGUCCUACGGGAGAAAGCAGGGGACCUUCGGGCCUCGCGCUAUCAGAUGAGCCUAGGUCGGAUUAGCUAGUUGGUGGGGUAAUGGCUCACCAAGGCGACGAUCCGUAACUGGUCUGAGAGGAUGAUCAGUCACACUGGAACUGAGACACGGUCCAGACUCCUACGGGAGGCAGCAGUGGGGAAUAUUGGACAAUGGACGAAAGCCUGAUCCAGCCAUGCCGCGUGUGUGAAGAAGGUCUUCGGAUUGUAAAGCACUUUAAGUUGGGAGGAAGGGCAGUAAGUUAAUACCUUGCUGUUUUGACGUUACCGACAGAAUAAGCACCGGCUAACUCUGUGCCAGCAGCCGCCGUAA